RNAcentral lists this ribosomal RNA (501 nucleotides) under uncultured bacterium. Its description in RNAcentral is "partial 16S ribosomal RNA". It matches the Rfam family "Bacterial small subunit ribosomal RNA", at positions 30 to 523 of the family's 1533-position model. The record is from RNAcentral.
AUUGAACGCUGGCGGCAGGCUUAACACAUGCAAGUCGAGCGGGGGAAGGUAGCUUGCUACCGGACCUAGCGGCGGACGGGUGAGUAAUGCUUAGGAAUCUGCCUAUUAGUGGGGGACAACAUCUCGAAAGGGAUGCUAAUACCGCAUACGUCCUACGGGAGAAAGCAGGGGGUCUUCGGACCUUGCGCUAAUAGAUGAGCCUAAGUCGGAUUAGCUAGUUGGUGGGGUAAAGGCCUACCAAGGCGACGAUCUGUAGCGGGUCUGAGAGGAGGGUCCGCCACACUGGGACUGAGACACGGCCCAGACUCCUGCGGGAGGCAGCAGUGGGGAAUAUUGGACAAUGGGGGGAACCCUGAUCCAGCCAUGCCGCGUGUGUGAAGAAGGCCUUAUGGUUGUAAAGCACUUUAAGCGAGGAGGAGGCUACUCUAGUUAAUACCUAGGGAUAGUGGACGUUACUCGCAGAAUAAGCACCGGCUAACUCUGUGCCAGCCGCCGCGGUAA